GACGGGGGGGGCAAGUGUUCUUCGGAAUGACUGGGCGUAAAGGGCACGUAGGCGGUGAAUCGGGUUGAAAGUGAAAGUCGCCAAAAAGUGGCGGAAUGCUCUCGAAACCAAUUCACUUGAGUGAGACAGAGGAGAGUGGAAUUUCGUGUGUAGGGGUGAAAUCCGUAGAUCUACGAAGGAACGCCAAAAGCGAAGGCAGGUUACUACCAAUAUAUUGACGCUGAUGGACGAAAGCGUGGGGAGCGAACAGG
RNAcentral lists this ribosomal RNA (251 nucleotides) under uncultured bacterium. RNAcentral's name for it is "partial 16S ribosomal RNA". It matches the Rfam family "Bacterial small subunit ribosomal RNA", at positions 524 to 776 of the family's 1533-position model. The record is from RNAcentral.